Molecule: long non-coding RNA, 1683 nt
Organism: Malurus melanocephalus (red-backed fairy wren)
Lineage: Eukaryota; Metazoa; Chordata; Aves; Passeriformes; Maluridae
Exons: 4
Source: RefSeq, a predicted model, not a curated record
AGAUGAACCAUCUCGGUGGUGGCUGUGCUUUGCAAGAAGGAUACGCUUCAUUCUGUGCAAGAAUAAAACACUACUUGUAAAACAGAGUAUAAUUUGAAAGGCACAAAACAAAAUCUAUUAUCUUAACCUUCCUGUCUGUGCACAAGAGAUGUUGGUGAUGUGUUAAGGGCUAGGAAUGUGCUGUGGAAACAAUUCUAAAUUUAAACAGUUGAGUUUGGGCUUUAUGUCUGAAGACAACUGAAUACAGGCAGAUCUGAUCCCAUGCGUAACUUGAAGGACAAAAGCACUGCUUCCUAAAUGAAGGCAUUGGGAAGUAAUGUAUUUAACUAUCACAAUAGCAAUAUAAACUGUUGAUUAAAUGAAUUUGCCACAUUUUUCUACAUGAUUCUCAAGACCAGUUUCUAAUUUUCAUGAUGAUGAUCUCCGGAAGGACUCACAAAAAUUGUGGAGCAAUGUUGCAGUAAAAUGACCCUGGGGACCUAUCAGCAGAAUAGUGGACUUCAGGAAAACAUCUUGGAACAGCAGCAGAAGCAGAAGCAGCAGCAGCCAUUCCUGUUACACUACAAAAGAAAUCCAUAACCUGUGCCAGCUACAGAAAAACAUAGCAUCUGUUGAUCACUGGGGGAGCUGGGGAAGAAAACUUAAAAUCCAUGUAUCUCUGCUGUCUUCUGUUUCCCUUCAGAGCUCCAGGUGUGUGGUCCCGGGACGGGGACGGACCGUGCCAUCCAUCUGGGACUGGCACAGCUGCAUCAACAUCUCAGCCAUGGGGAAGAAGAAGAGCUGGGUGUCACUUGAACAAGGGCAGGCUGUAUGGGGCUGUCCGACUGGCAGUGCCCACGGAAACACAGGCCUUUUGACACGGGGCCUGUGACAUGCUACAAGAUGAGCUGGCAGUUUCUGUAUGCCAGGAUGAUGGUGGAUCCUAAACACCCAGGCCCUUCCUCACCAGGUGUCACUAUCCUGGUUCCUCUGAGGUCUGCACCAGCUCAGCGCAUAGCUCAAUCCACGUUACUCCACUAAAUGUGAAAACAAAAUCAGGGGCCAAAUCCUGCCUAGAUUUUACCCCUGGUUUGAUGUAGCUCAGCAGUGAAUCUGUGUGAAAGUCUGUGCUCAGCUCGGGAGCUGAGGUGACAGUUUAACAAGUAGAUCAAACAAUUACACAAUUUUGAUAAUGCAAUGUCUGUGUUCAGUUCUCUUAAAAUUAGCAACAUCACAAUUAUUUUCUGCACUAAAAGCCAUCCUGCAGCAGAUAAUUUUGCUUGACUUCUUCAUCAGCUAAGCAAAACCUCCAACUGUGAAAAAAUGUAUUUUCAGCAGAGUACUGAUUUUUCUCCUGCAAUCUCCCCUCCUCCCCRUUUAUUCCUUCUUUUCUUCUCUACCAUCAAUCUUUAAAGCAUGCCACUGUGCAUUCACAUUUUUCUUUCUGCACGUGUCAGCUCAACGCUCUUCCUCAGAGUCCUCUUUCUCCGCCAAAUCCCGCAAAGCAGACUUUAACCACUCAUUUCCCGAACUGGGAAUUCCACACACAACUUCGCAGAAGCCAGGCUCUCCGGGCGCUUCCCAGCCACUGUGCUGGAAUCCCCCCUUCCCUCCAACAACCCACGGCUAUGGACAAAAGAGCAAGUAAAAGGAAACUGACUUACUGCUAUGGCUUGGAGCCUUUCCUUGUGCAACUCUGCUUCC